This 284-nucleotide ribosomal RNA is filed under the name uncultured bacterium TA2. RNAcentral describes it as "partial 16S ribosomal RNA". It matches the Rfam family "Bacterial small subunit ribosomal RNA", at positions 223 to 519 of the family's 1533-position model. The record is from RNAcentral.
GGAUGAGCCCGCGGCCUAUCAGCUUGUUGGUGGGGUAAUGGCCUACCAAGGCGACGACGGGUAGCCGGCCUGAGAGGGCGACCGGCCACACUGGGACUGAGACACGGCCCAGACUCCUACGGGAGGCAGCAGUGGGGAAUAUUGCACAAUGGGCGAAAGCCUGAUGCAGCGACGCCGCGUGAGGGAUGACGGCCUUCGGGUUGUAAACCUCUUUCAGCAGGGACGAAGCGCAAGUGACGGUACCUGCAGAAGAAGCACCGGCCAACUACGUGCCAGCAGCCGCG